GCUCCACGACCACCAGGAAAAGCAUCAGAAUAUACCGCUCAACCGGCCAGACCUAUUUCCUCUGUCAGAAGAGAGCUCGUGUGUUUGCGAGCUGCCUACACAGUGUUUUGUGAUGAGGAUUUUGGCCCAUCGCCAAACUCAUUUCAAAUGGACGUAUUAUACAUCAUGAGUUUAGCGAAUCAAUGUUUUGUGUGUCUCAGCUACGAGAGCGACGGAGUAACGCGGUUGAUGGUGGUCGUGAGUUUCGGCAGACGAAGACAUUGACGGACUACCUGGGAUAGUGCGAAGACAUGAGAUCUGAUUGCAAGCGAUUUUAUGGAUCAAGAGCUGCAGAUGGAUUAAAAUAAUAGAGUUUAUGAUAACUCAGCGUAAAAUUAGAGCAAAUGGACGAAGCUCCUCUCGUGAGACAGAAGAUGGCUGGGAUUGAGAGCGGGAGGAAAAUACAGACGUCGGAGAGAUAAAAAUUGUGUGCCUGCUGGGGUCGUAGGCUAUACAUCAUCGAUCGACACCCGAGGAUUUACGAUUUCUGUGGACCGAGAACAUAUAGCGUCACGGUUGCGUGCAUAUAUGUGUAUAUCAACCUCCUGAAUUAUCAAGCUCGAUCGCCUAUUUCGCUGUAGAUGCAAUAUAUACGGCAGAUAGAACACCGAGAGUGUGUAGGAGUUCGUUUCAUUUCAUUCGGAAUAUAGUUUGAGUGAGAUUGAAAAAACAUAAAUAAAACAGAAUCCUCUUCGCCAGUGGCGAAUCAUCCUA
Venturia canescens is the source of this 753-nucleotide long non-coding RNA. RefSeq lists it as uncharacterized. NCBI's taxonomy places the organism in Eukaryota, Metazoa, Arthropoda, Insecta, Hymenoptera, Ichneumonidae. The record is from RefSeq and is a predicted model, not a curated record. The transcript is spliced from 2 exons.